RNAcentral lists this ribosomal RNA (271 nucleotides) under uncultured Desulfocapsa sp. Its description in RNAcentral is "partial 16S ribosomal RNA". It matches the Rfam family "Bacterial small subunit ribosomal RNA", at positions 1110 to 1382 of the family's 1533-position model. Lineage: Bacteria; Pseudomonadati; Thermodesulfobacteriota; Desulfobulbia; Desulfobulbales; Desulfocapsaceae. The record is from RNAcentral.
UUUAGUUGCCAUCAUUGAGUUGGGCACUCUAAGGAGACUGCCGGUGUCAAACCGGAGGAAGGUGGGGAUGACGUCAAGUCCUCAUGGCCUUUAUGACCAGGGCUACACACGUACUACAAUGGCCGGUACAAAGGGCAGCGACACAGCGAUGUGAAGCGAAUCCCGAAAAGCCGGUCUCAGUCCGGAUUGGAGUCUGCAACCCGACUCCAUGAAGUUGGAAUCGCUAGUAAUCGCGGAUCAGCAUGCCGCGGUGAAUACGUUCCCGGGCCUU